Molecule: ribosomal RNA, 253 nt
Filed under: uncultured bacterium
Lineage: Bacteria
Description: partial 16S ribosomal RNA
Rfam family: Bacterial small subunit ribosomal RNA
Source: RNAcentral
UACGGAGGGGGCUAGCGUUGUUCGGAAUUACUGGGCGUAAAACGCACGUAGGCGGCUUUGCAAGUCAGGGGUGAAAGCCCGGAGCUCAACUCGGAACGGUCAAGUGAUACUGCGGUGCUAGAGUGCGGAAGGGGCAACUGGAAUUCUUGGUGUAGCGGUGAAAUGCGUAGAUAUCAAGAGGAACACCUGCGGCGAAGGCGGGUUGAUGGGCCGACACUGACGCUGAGGCGCGAAAGCUAGGGGAGCGAACAGG